UGUUGAAACCCUAGAUUCAC
This 20-nucleotide small nuclear RNA is filed under the name Arabidopsis thaliana (thale cress). RNAcentral describes it as "snRNA_07554". Lineage: Eukaryota; Viridiplantae; Streptophyta; Magnoliopsida; Brassicales; Brassicaceae. The record is from RNAcentral.